Molecule: long non-coding RNA, 725 nt
Organism: Esox lucius (northern pike)
Lineage: Eukaryota; Metazoa; Chordata; Actinopteri; Esociformes; Esocidae
Exons: 2
Source: RefSeq, a predicted model, not a curated record
GUACAGCACAACUAAAUACAGCUAGCCUCUAACAAGUGAAAAUAGAUAAUUGCAGAAAGUGAAAUCAUUAAGAACAUAAUGUAAUUACAUACAAUAGAAUUAUACUUUUUUAUAAUAUUUUUUAUGGCAUGUUCAUGCUUUAAUGGGACAGAGACAUGAAUGGUGGCGAGAGAGGGGAUGGCAUGCAGGAAAGGGCCCAGGCUAGACCCAAACCAGCCCGCUGCCUGGUGGUACACACUACCGUUGAGCCAGCAAAUGAGCUGACUGAAUAAUCACUCCAAGAUCAAGAAGAUACCUGAUGACUCCAGCUGUCAGUCUGAUAACCACCCCCCCUCCACCCGGUUGUCCCUGUUCUUGUCCAUCUGGUCAGGCUUCUGACGUGGAUUAGGUUUUAAAGACUCUGGAGUCAACUUGUACUCUUAAAAUGUUCAUCCGGCACAGCCAGAAGAGGACAGGUCACCCCUCCGAGCCUGGUUCCUCUCUAAGUUUUUUACUAAAUUUCGUCCCCUCUUAGGUAGUUUUCCCUAGCCACUGUGCUACAAAGCUGUUGUUGUUUGCUCCUUGGGGUUUUCAGGCUGGGUGUUUUGUAAAAGCAUUUUGUGUCAACUGCUGAUGUAAAAGAGGGCUUUAUAAAUACAUUUGAUUGAUUGAUUGUAGGUGUCAUUGAAUAUAGCAUGUUUACUCUUUUGGGUGUAUUACAAACCUAUUAAAAUACCUUGAAUAUG